UCUUUUUUUUUUUUUUUUGUCUUUUUGGUAUAGCAAUUUGUUCUAGGUUUUCAAGUAUAGAAUUACUGAGAUAAAGAAGCGAAAGGGGAAAUAAAUGGAAGAAGAAAAUAGUUCCUGGAUAAGGAGGACAAAUUUUUCACAUAGAGUUUGUCUUCGUUUAGAUUCUUCAAGAAGAAUGGCCUCUUUUCCUUUAGCCAUUCAGCCGGAGAGAAAUUCCGGCUUGAAAUCAAGGCCUGGAAUGCCAUCUUCUUAUCAGAAGUCUGUUUCCUUCUCCAAUCAGAAUUCAUCACUUACUAAUAAUUUUCAGAAUCAGAUUGAGAGAAAUCCCCUCACCAACAAGCAGAGGUCUUUAUCUCCUCUCCCUGAAACAGUCCUUUCUGAUACUUUUAAGGAAGCAAGGUCUGAUAGGAAGAGAUUCUCAACUCCACAUCCUCGCUGGAAAGAUCAGGAGAAGAAAAUCAUGGGAAAGUUUCUUCACAAGGAAUUUCCAGAAACCGAGCCAUCCAGUCCUACAUCAAAUACAGGCCCACUCCAGCACUUGGCUUCAAUGGAGGGCCAUGAAAAAUCAAAGGUCAAGAAGGACUCUGGUUGGACAAAGUAUUUUGACCAUGGUGGAGGAAGGGUUAAUGCUGUGGAAGCUGCUGAUGAAUUUAGUGUGGAUAUGUCUAAACUUUUUCUCGGGCUUAGAUUUGCUCAUGGGGCACAUAGCAAGCUUUACCAUGGUGUAUACAAAGAUGAACCUGUUGCAGUUAAAAUUAUCAGGGCACCAGAUGAUGACGAAAAUGGGACCUUAGCUGCUAGAUUGAAGAAUCAAUAUAGCAGAGAAGUCACCCUUUUAUCUCGGCUUCACCAUCGGAAUGUUAUAAAGUUUGUAGCAGCAUGCAAAAAGCCACCAGUUUAUUGUGUUAUAACAGAAUAUUUAUCUCAAGGUUCCUUGAGGGCAUACCUGCACAAGCUUGAGCAUAAGUCUCUCACCUUACAGAGGCUAAUUGCAGUUGCUCUGGAUAUUGCUCGUGGAAUGGAAUAUAUCCACUCUCAAGGUGUCAUUCAUCGAGAUCUUAAACCUGAGAAUGUUCUUAUUGAUCAAGAGUUUCAUCUAAAGAUAGCCGAUUUUGGCAUAGCUUGUGAGGAAGCAUAUUGUGAUUCAUUGGCUGACGACCCAGGAACUUACAGAUGGAUGGCACCUGAGAUGAUAAAAAAGAAAUCCUAUGGCAGAAGGGUUGAUGUGUAUAGUUUUGGGCUCAUUUUAUGGGAAAUGGUGGCUGGAACAAUUCCCUAUGAGGAUAUGAAUCCCAUACAAGCUGCUUUUGCAGUAGUGAAUAAGAAUUUGAGACCUGUUAUUCCUCGGGACUGCCCUCCUGCCAUGCGAGCUUUAAUCGAGCAAUGCUGGUGUUUGCAUCCUGAGAAAAGGCCCGAGUUUUGGCAAAUUGUGAAAGUAUUAGAGCAAUUUAAGUCUUCACUUGCCUGUGAUGGGACCCUGAAUUUGGCACAAAACCCAACUUGUCAAGAUCAUAAGAAAGGUCUUCUUCAUUGGAUUCAAAAGCUUGGUCCCGUUCAUCCUAGUAGUUCCCCCAUACCUAAACCCAAAUUCACAUGAAUCUCUUUUAUGACCCAGCUUUUUAGUGCACUGGGUCACUUGUAAUUAAAAAGGUUUGUUUUCCGAGCCUCUUUAUUUGUACUCCUCUUCUAUGUCACAUUCAUGUGAGAGUGAAUUAAUAGAUUUGUAGGAUCCAGUGCGGUGGAAGUAUCUUUUCUUCGCAAAUAUGCCUACACACAACAUAUUAUCACAUUUUAGGGUGUUUUGAACAUUGUAAGCAUUGGGAGAUGAAAGAUAGUGUGUUUUAAAAGGCUAUGAAGUUGAAGAGCUGUCUCCUUUGGAUGGAUUUUUUUUCCCAAGAUGAACUGUUUUAACUUUGCCCUUUUCCAUUAGUCAAGUUUCUACUAUUUUGGUGUUAUAUUCGUUAUUGAAUAUGGAAACUUAUUAAAAUUCUUAAUUUGGAUUGGCUGUAUACAUUCUAAUGCUGAUUAGAGAGAGAGAGUGCCCGCACACCACCCCCCGCACCCAAAACAAAACAAGAGGGGGGUGGGGGCUGGCUGCAUGGAAAUACACAUUCUAACUAUAUGAGUUUGUUUAUCAUCAAUGUUAAGUGAAUGAUGAUUCCAAUUAUCUCUUCAUUUUAGAGAAACCGUAUGUGUUGUUUUAGGUAUUAAAUGCAGGUGAAGUUUCAACCAUCUGCUUUUAGUUUGUCCUAGGUGUUGCUUGUGUUUUAUCAGAAACCAGUAAAUGUGUUUCAGUUGUGCUGUGUUUGAAUGCGUU
This 2317-nucleotide unclassified non-coding RNA is filed under the name Hevea brasiliensis (rubber tree). The record is from RNAcentral. Lineage: Eukaryota; Viridiplantae; Streptophyta; Magnoliopsida; Malpighiales; Euphorbiaceae.